UCGACCUCAAAUCAGGUAGGACUACCCGCUGAACUUAAGC
RNAcentral lists this ribosomal RNA (40 nucleotides) under Pseudotomentella larsenii. RNAcentral describes it as "partial 28S ribosomal RNA". The record is from RNAcentral. Lineage: Eukaryota; Fungi; Basidiomycota; Agaricomycetes; Thelephorales; Thelephoraceae.